This 564-nucleotide ribosomal RNA is filed under the name uncultured Glomeromycotina. RNAcentral's name for it is "SSU rRNA". It matches the Rfam family "Eukaryotic small subunit ribosomal RNA", at positions 548 to 1114 of the family's 1831-position model. The record is from RNAcentral. Lineage: Eukaryota; Fungi; Glomeromycota.
UUGGAGGGCAAGUCUGGUGCCUGCAGCCGCGGUAAUUCCAGCUCCAAUAGCGUAUAUUAAAGUUGUUGCAGUUAAGAAGCUCGUAGUUGAAUUUCGGGGUCAAUAAGUUGGUCGUGCCAAUGGUAUGUACUGGCUUUAUUGAUUCCUACCUCUUGACGAACUGUGAUGCCAUUAAUUUGGUGUUGCAGGAAAUCAGGACUGUUACCUUGAAAAAAUUAGAGUGUUUAAAGCAGGCUUACGCUUGAAUACAUAGCAUGGAAUAAUGAAAUAGGACGUUUGAACCUAUUUUGUUGGUUUCUAGGAUCGACGUAAUGAUUAAUAGGGAUAGUUGGGGGCAUUAGUAUUCAAUUGUCAGAGGUGAAAUUCUCGGAUUUAUUGAAGACUAACUACUGCGAAAGCAUUUGCCAAGGAUGUUUUCAUUAAUCAAGAACGAAAGUUAGGGGAUCGAAGACGAUCAGAUACCGUCGUAGUCUUAACCAUAAACUAUGCCGACUAGGGAUCGGAUGAUGUUAAUUUUUUAAUGACUCAUUCGGCGCCUUACGGGAAACCAAAGUGUUUGGGUUC